CCUACGGGGUGCAGCAGUGGGGGAUAUUGCACAAUGGGGGGAACCCUGAUGCAGCGACGCCGCGUGGGUGAAGGAGCGUUUCGGCGCGUAAAGCUCUAUCAGCAGGGAAGAAAAUGACGGUACCUGAGUAAGAAGCCCCGGCUAACUACGUGCCAGCAGCCGCGGUCAUACGUAGGGGGCAAGCGUUAUCCGGAUUUACUGGGUGUAAAGGGAGCGUAGACGGCAGUGCAAGUCUGGAGUGAAAGGCGGGGGCUCAACCCCCGGACUGCUCUGGAAACUGUACGGCUGGAGUGCAGGAGAGGUAAGUGGAAUUCCUAGUGUAGCGGUGAAAUGCGUAGAUAUUAGGAGGAACACCAGUGGCGAAGGCGGCUUACUGGACUGUAACUGACGUUGAGGCUCGAAAGCGUGGGGAGCAAACAGGAUUAGAUACCCUUGUAGUC
This 440-nucleotide ribosomal RNA is filed under the name uncultured bacterium. Its description in RNAcentral is "partial 16S ribosomal RNA". It matches the Rfam family "Bacterial small subunit ribosomal RNA", at positions 338 to 795 of the family's 1533-position model. The record is from RNAcentral.